AAACUUCAGCCAGAGAGACAGCUGUUUUGAAAAUCUUCUCAUGGACGAAGAGCAGUGGCUCCAGGUUGCUUGAUGUGCCUACAUGCUCCUCUGGAUCCUCCUUGGUGUCCAUAGUCUUUGGAAGUGAUCAAGAUUCCACGCCACCACCAUCAUUAUGUGUUGGAAAACAGCAGAUGGCCUGGAACUUGUGAAGAAAUCAUAUGCACUGCACUCAAGUACUGUUGUGGGGUGACCUGUUGCCUGACAAGGAUGGGGACAGC
This is a long non-coding RNA of Engraulis encrasicolus (European anchovy), 260 nucleotides long. RefSeq lists it as uncharacterized. NCBI's taxonomy places the organism in Eukaryota, Metazoa, Chordata, Actinopteri, Clupeiformes, Engraulidae. The record is from RefSeq and is a predicted model, not a curated record. The transcript has 4 exons.